RNAcentral lists this long non-coding RNA (231 nucleotides) under Homo sapiens (human). Its description in RNAcentral is "non-protein coding lnc-SLC7A11-5:1". The record is from RNAcentral. Lineage: Eukaryota; Metazoa; Chordata; Mammalia; Primates; Hominidae.
CCAGGCAGUGGGUUGAAGCUUAAACUCAGGCAGUCUGACUCCAGAACCCACAUUCCUAACCAAUGAGUUACCCAAUGGUACCUGUCAUAAAAUAUAUCCAGCAGUCUUAGGGCAAAUCUAAUAGUAGCAGCCUUACCUGCUAGAGGCUGGUGAUCUGAUUUUCAGCCCAGACCUCCAUGUGGUCUUUGUCACACUGGUGGCAGGAGUCAGAUGGUCUCUUGCAGAAAGAAC